Molecule: long non-coding RNA, 279 nt
Organism: Hyaena hyaena (striped hyena)
Lineage: Eukaryota; Metazoa; Chordata; Mammalia; Carnivora; Hyaenidae
Exons: 3
Source: RefSeq, a predicted model, not a curated record
CAGAGGUUAACUUCUGGACAACUUGGAAACCGAAAUGACUUCAAGUUGCAGUACAUUUGUACAGUCUCUCUGGAGGUGCCCUAUGGAGUCAAACAACCAAGUUGUGAAACUGUCUCACUGGUUGUCACUGAAAAAUCCAUCAGUAAGGAGGAAAGACCCAAUGGAUUUACUUGAAAAUAUGGUCAAUGAUAGAUCUAAAUGGGAAGUCACAAAAACUGUGGAUCAACCGAGAUGAGGCAAUUAAAAGUUUCAAAUACAUAAGAAAGAAACUCUGGAACA